CCCUUAGAUGUCCUGGGCCGCACGCGCGCUACACUGAGUGUCUGAGAUACGAGUCUGCCUGGUCCGGCAAGGUCUAGGUAAUCGCUAAAAGACACAUCAUGCUUGGGAUAGAUUAUUGCAAAUAUUAAUCUUGAACGAGGAAUUCCUAGUAAGCGCAAGUCAACAGCUUGCGUUGAUUACGUCCCUGCCCUUUGUACACACCGCCCGUCGCUACUGCUGAUUGGAUGUUUAAGCGAGGUUCUCGAACUGCUAGCGACUUAGCUUCGGUGAGGUCGCAGUGUGGGAAGUGAACCUAGCUUUGGUGUCUAGAGGAAGUAAAAGUCGUAACA
RNAcentral lists this ribosomal RNA (329 nucleotides) under uncultured eukaryote. RNAcentral's name for it is "partial 18S ribosomal RNA". It matches the Rfam family "Eukaryotic small subunit ribosomal RNA", at positions 1470 to 1796 of the family's 1831-position model. The record is from RNAcentral.